AUUUUGUUCACUGCCAGCUGAUCUUAACCAGUUCCCAGAUUUGUGUUGUAUCGUUUGGGGCUUAUGAGAAAAUGGUGAACUUGAUCUACCUUCUUUUUUUUUUCUUUCUCCCAUUGAAAAAGUCAGAAUUUCUCCCUUCCUCUCUCAUAGGUUCUACCUGACCUUCUCAAUAGGUAGCCAAGUUUUAAUGGUAGAAGCACAGCGAGCGGAAUCUUAAAAAGACUUGGUGUCCCAGCCUGCACAACAUGAUGACACCUCGUCUCUACAAAUUAGCUGAGCAUGGUGGUAUAUGCCUGUAGUCGCAACUGCUGGGGAGGCUGAGAUGGGAGGAUCACUUUAACCCUGAGAGGUCGAGGCUGCAGUGGGCCAUGAUUGAGCUGCUGUACUCCAGCCCGGGUGACGGAGUAAGACCCAGUAUAAAAAAAAGAGACUUGGUGCCUAAUAAAUAUAUUUCUUAUUGAUAUUGAUUAAUUGAUUGAUUUGUUAUUUACAUCUCCCAAAUGAGUGGGAGAUGUAAUAAAGUUUAAUUUACAGAUUAUACACGUAAGAGAUCAACAACAAUAACUAAUAAUAAAAUAGAACAAUUAUAACAAUAUACUGGGCUAAGCAUGAUGGUUCACAAUUGUAAUCCCAACACCUUGGGAGGCCAAGUGGGAAGAUCACUUAGGGCCUGGAGUUUGAGACCAGCCUGGGCAACAUGGCAAGACUCUG
RNAcentral lists this long non-coding RNA (711 nucleotides) under Homo sapiens (human). Its description in RNAcentral is "HSALNT0386185". The record is from RNAcentral. Lineage: Eukaryota; Metazoa; Chordata; Mammalia; Primates; Hominidae.